GGCUGCGAUCAUACCAGCACUAAUGCACCGGAUCCCAUCAGAACUCCGCAGUUAAGCGUGCAUGGGCGAGAGUAGUACUAGGAUGGGUGACCCCCUGGGAAGUCCUCGUGUUGCAACCC
Molecule: ribosomal RNA, 119 nt
Filed under: Helianthus annuus (common sunflower)
Lineage: Eukaryota; Viridiplantae; Streptophyta; Magnoliopsida; Asterales; Asteraceae
Source: RNAcentral